AAAAGGUUUUUGCUUGGUUGUGUUGGAGUUGAACUACUAUAACAGAUCACACAGAAACUGAAACCGCAUAUACGAAGAUGGGAACUCGGGAGGUGUACGAGCAGAAAUUAAGGACUGGGAAUCUGCAUCAUGAUCCCACCAUCAACCCUGGCCUCGGUUCCCCUCGCUGCCCUCGCUGUCUCUCUCUAUUAAUCCCUAAUUCUGGAAAGGGAGAAUGGACUAUUACUUCCGUUUUACAUGAUGCCACUGCCGUGGCUGGGUCGGGUAUUGGUGGAAUGCUUAGUGCUGUUCAUGGUUUCAAUACAGGGAUCCCAUUCCUUCAAAAUCGUCUCAAGGGACCAAAAUGGCUGCCUUUUGUAGUUGGGCUUCCUCCCCUGCUAGUGGUUUCAGGUGCAAGUGCUGCAUUUGGAGGUAAGAAUAGAAUCUCUCCAUUGUUGUGAUUAAAGUAGUGCAAUGUCAUUCUUGGCAUGUAUGACUGAGUUUUAUCUUGAUUUUACAAAUAAUCUGUUGUCUCGUUGCUCAUUCUAAGCUUUUUAAACCUUGGUUAAAGGUGCUACCAACUAUGGCCUUUUAUUCAGGGACAGAAUUGAUAUACAUGGUUUGCACUGUGACCUAAGGAUUUCAUGGAAUUAUCUUAAGCAUUUUCGGCUGAAUUUAUCUUUUUUUUUUUGGUCUGUACCUUUUGGGCUGUUAUGGCUAAUUGUGUACAGGGUGGAGUUCCUGACUGAUGGGUGCAGUGAAAGUUCCAAAAAACAGUGUAGAAACUGUACAAUUUGUAAUUCUUAGGUCCUAAAAGGCAUCCUAUAUCCUGUGGUCAUUGAAAAAAAUGAAAUGAUUGGUGUAGUUCAGCAAUUUAUAGGGUGUAAUCUUUAUUACUUUUUGGAUUGGACUUAGAAUAUGAUUUUGGGAGCUCUUGCUGUGUUGUGUUUCUGCAAGUUCCUGGCAAAAAACUAAUGUAUGUGUACUGUGUUUGUACGAUGACCUUAACUUACUAUAUCCUUGCAAAAUGACCUUUUCUUUUGGCUUUUCAAUGAUUUGCUCACUGCUAAAGGUUAGACUUCAGCCAUUAGUUUGGUAGUGAGUGUGGACAUUUUCACAUAACCAUUAAUCCCUUAUUUGGAAGUGGAAAUGAGAUCUAGAACUUUUUGUUUUAUCAGCUGUGUCCUAUUGUCACAGGAUCUGCUAGUGCUAUCUCAUUGAACUGCCUUUCAAUUUAUCCUGAAAAAUGAAUUAUUUUGAGAAAGAAAGGGUAUUUUGACAUUAUUUAGUGAAAUAGUUUUCCUUAAUCUUUUUCUCACCUCUUGAGAACACAAAGCUGGACAUAGUUCUUGCUUUCCGGGGA
This 1342-nucleotide unclassified non-coding RNA is filed under the name Hevea brasiliensis (rubber tree). The record is from RNAcentral. Lineage: Eukaryota; Viridiplantae; Streptophyta; Magnoliopsida; Malpighiales; Euphorbiaceae.